CGGGACGGGGUGGAGUAAUGUCUGGGAAACGUGCCUGAUGGAGGGGGGUAACUACUGGAAACGGUAGCUAAUACCGCAUAACGUCGCAAGACCAAAGAGGGGGACCUUCGGGCCUCUUGCCAUCGGAUGUGCCCAGAUGGGAUUAGCUAGUAGGUGGGGUAAAGGCUCACCUAGGCGACGAUCCCUAGCUGGUCUGAGAGGAUGACCAGCCACACUGGAACUGAGACACGGUCCAG
This 236-nucleotide ribosomal RNA is filed under the name uncultured bacterium. RNAcentral's name for it is "partial 16S ribosomal RNA". It matches the Rfam family "Bacterial small subunit ribosomal RNA", at positions 104 to 334 of the family's 1533-position model. The record is from RNAcentral.